Molecule: ribosomal RNA, 253 nt
Filed under: uncultured bacterium
Lineage: Bacteria
Description: partial 16S ribosomal RNA
Rfam family: Bacterial small subunit ribosomal RNA
Source: RNAcentral
UACGUAGGGGGCAAGCGUUGUCCGGAUUUAUUGGGCGUAAAGAGCGUGUGAGCGGCCAGGUAGGUCCGCUGUGAAAACUCGAGGCUCAACCUCGAGAUGUCGGCGGAAACCAUCUGGCUAGAGUCCGGAAGAGGAGAGUGGAAUUCCUGGUGUAGCGGUGAAAUGCGCAGAUAUCAGGAAGAACACCCGUGGCGAAGGCGGCUCUCUGGGCCUUACCUGACACUGAGGAGCGAAAGCGUGGGGAGCGAACAGG